CUUGGUCAUUUAGAGGAAGUAAAAGUCGUAACAAGGUUUCCGUAGGUGAACCUGCGGAAGGAUCAUUAAAGUAACUCCCCUGUUCUUGAGCAGGGUGCUACUCAACCCGUGUAUAYCUUACCUUUGUUGCUUUGGCAGGCCGCCUUCGGGCGUUGGCUCCGGUUGACAGCGCUUGCCAGAGGACCCAAACUCUUUUGUUUAGUGAUGUCUGAGUACUAUAUAAUAGUUAAAACUUUCAACAACGGAUCUCUUGGUUCUGGCAUCGAUGAAGAACGCAGCGAAAUGCGAUAAGUAAUGUGAAUUGCAGAAUUCAGUGAAUCAUCGAAUCUUUGAACGCACAUUGCGCCCCUUGGUAUUCCGAGGGGCAUGCCUGUUCGAGCGUCAUUAUGACCACUCAAGCCUAGCUUGGUAUUGAGGUUCGCGGUCUCGCGGCCCCUAAAAUCAGUGGCGGUGCUGUCUGGCUCUAAGCGUAGUAAUUUUCUCGCUAUGGGGUCCGGACAGUUACUUGCCAAAACCCCAACUUCUCACGGUUGACCUCGGAUCAGGUAGGGAUACCCGCUGAACUUAAGCAUAUCAAUAAGCGGAGGA
RNAcentral lists this ribosomal RNA (588 nucleotides) under uncultured fungus. Its description in RNAcentral is "eukaryotic LSU rRNA". The stretch from base 231 to 384 matches the Rfam family "5.8S ribosomal RNA". The record is from RNAcentral. Lineage: Eukaryota; Fungi.